GGAGGGAUGGCCGAGCGGACGAAGGCGACAGUCUUGAAAACUGUUGAGCCGGGUUAACCGGUUCCGUGGGUUCGAAUCCCACUCCCUCCGCCA
Molecule: transfer RNA, 93 nt
Filed under: Acidimicrobiia bacterium
Lineage: Bacteria; Bacillati; Actinomycetota; Acidimicrobiia
Description: tRNA-Ser
Rfam family: tRNA
About the family: Transfer RNA (tRNA) molecules are approximately 80 nucleotides in length.
Source: RNAcentral